Molecule: long non-coding RNA, 1799 nt
Organism: Bos taurus (domestic cattle)
Lineage: Eukaryota; Metazoa; Chordata; Mammalia; Artiodactyla; Bovidae
Source: Ensembl
CUCCUGAGGGUGGCGCCUCUUCUGCUCUGGGCACAUGGUAGUUAGAUUUGUUCCUCUGCUUUACAUUUCGGAAUCUCUUUAGGGUCAAAAUACAAAUUUCAAAUUUUAAAGCCACCUGAGUCACUUUGAUGUGAUUUUUCUAUGUAUUCCUAGGAUUUUAUUCUCAAUUUCAUCCCAGCCUACCUUUUUUAUUGGCUCAAUUUCUAUCAAUCCCUUCCUCUCUAACCCAUAUCUCCAACAUGUAGUUAGAGGCUCACAACUCCCAGAUUCUGGAUAUGAAUCUAGGCACUAGGAAGUUACUAGUCUUAGUUCUUACUUCAUUUCCUGUCCUCUGUUUAUUUGAUUUUUUUUCCCCCUCUCAUUAGUAAACCAGCUAUUUCUUUCUACAUUUCUAACAUUUAUCUACCAUUCUUCUUUGUCAAAAAGAAUCUCAGUUAAAAAAGAAGAAACAAAAGGAGGCAGAGGGGAAGAAAGACAGAAAAAAAUACAAACCAACUGGGAUGUGAGUCACCUUACCUUAUAAGUGACUAAACCAAUCAUUCAAAUUGGACACGGUAUUCCACUGCAGAAUCUGUCCAUUCUCUAUGGAAGCAGAGGGAAACUAAGAUGAGACUUCAGAGAAGGCACUAGAAACUAACUUAUCUUCAGGGCCAAGCUAAGAUGUUGAGGCUUCAUCCAGAAAGUCAUAGAAGGUCACUGAGUGUUUUAAACAAAGAGUGAUGAAUUGAACUUGUGCGAAAAUGAACCUGUGCAUUUUUAGAUCGUAUGUUUUGAGAAGUCAGUACUUCCUGGAAGUCAUCAAGGGCAAAUAUACAGGGCUGAACAUUUUCUCAGCAGCAUGGAGUUCUCAAAGUCAAAGACUCCAACUCAAACAAACUCCAAGUGAAAACUCAGCAUGUGAAGUCCUACCUUCCUCAAAUACGUGUUACCGACACUCAUAGCUGUAGAAGUCCCACUGGUAGUAUAUAGAGGUUGGUUUGAGGGCUGGGAGUUGGGGCAAUGGUUGUGAAUCUAGAAAUGAUCCUUUGUAAAGGGACACUUAAUUUGGACCUCAAUACAAGAAACUUGUGGAGGAACAGGAAAGAUUGUAGGCAGCUGAGAACUGUUGUAUUAAUUAGUUCAGAGUGGAAGAAGCUGAGCGUUAUCUAUAAAGGCAGGUCUGGCAGUCGAAAGGCAUGGAGGAAAAUGGAGCUGGGGAGGGGGUCGCGGCAGGUCCUGUGGGAUCUGGACGUCAGAGGCACAGAGGUGGCACACUCACAUCCUGUGUAAAACUUCUGGCUCACAUCCCACCCCCCAGAUGCUGAAAAGUAACCGUCCCUCACUUAACACCAAAACCUGCACUCAACGUUUCUUCAGGGGAUAAAGGGAAAAAAAAAAGUAUGCUUACACAGAGGUCAGCCUACUCGUUCAUUAAGGAAAAAGAGCGUGGCUUAUUCAUCUGUCUUUCAAACGUUUGAUCGUUGGCAUGAUGAUGAUGGCGGAUUACUAGGACCUAACCAAAUCAGAGGAGAGACUAAAUGCUGGUGCUCUGAAAUGAUCUACCCUGUCAUCUGUAACAACCAGUGAUAACUCUCUUGUCUUGUAAAAAGGGUUUGUACAUAACUUGUACAUGGUUUCAUUUUGUAUUUUUCGCAGAUUAAAAAUUUAUGUAUUUGUGUUCUAAAUCGGUGAGUGUGCCUUUUGUCUCCAGCAGCCACACUUCAUGGGCGGGGCGGGGGAGGGGAGAGUGGAGUCUGUGGGUCCCCAUCAGGCUGCUGUGCCUCUCUUUGGUGACGGCAGAGUUGUGGACAGAUCGGAGC